UAAGAAAUCCCCUUCUUGUAAAAUAAUGCA
This 30-nucleotide non-coding RNA is filed under the name Mus musculus (house mouse). The record is from RNAcentral. Lineage: Eukaryota; Metazoa; Chordata; Mammalia; Rodentia; Muridae.